GGAGAGAUGUCCGAGCGGCUUAAGGAGCACGCCUGGAAAGCGUGUAAACUGAAAGGUUUCGCGGGUUCAAAUCCCGCUCUCUCCGCCA
Molecule: transfer RNA, 88 nt
Filed under: Fusibacter sp. A1
Lineage: Bacteria; Bacillati; Bacillota; Clostridia; Eubacteriales; Fusibacteraceae
Also listed under: 1 other name
Description: tRNA-Ser
Rfam family: tRNA
About the family: Transfer RNA (tRNA) molecules are approximately 80 nucleotides in length. Their secondary structure includes four short double-helical elements and three loops (D, anti-codon, and T loops).
Source: RNAcentral